AGUGAACGCUGGCGGUAGGCCUAACACAUGCAAGUCGAACGGCAGCACAGUAAUAGCUUGCUCUUACGGGUGGCGAGUGGCGGACGGGUGAGGAAUACAUCGGAAUCUACUUUUUCGUGGGGGAUAACGUAGGGAAACUUACGCUAAUACCGCAUACGACCUACGGGCGAAAGCAGGGGAUCUUCGGACCUUGCGCGAUUGAAUGAGCCGAUGUCGGAUUAGUUAGUUGGCGGGGUAAAGGCCCACCAAGGCGACGAUCCGUAGCUGGUCUGAGAGGAUGAUCAGCCACACUGUAACUGAGACACGGUCCAGACUCCUACGGGAGGCAGCAGUGGGGAAUAGUGGACAAUGGGCGCAAGCCUGAUCCAGCCAUACCGCGUGGGUGAAGAAGGCCUUCUGGUUGUAAAGCCCUUUUGUUGUGAAAGAAAAGCAGCAGGUUAAUACCCCGCUGUUCUGACGGUACCCAAAGAAUAAGCACCGGCUAACUUCGUG
RNAcentral lists this ribosomal RNA (492 nucleotides) under uncultured bacterium. Its description in RNAcentral is "partial 16S ribosomal RNA". It matches the Rfam family "Bacterial small subunit ribosomal RNA", at positions 29 to 507 of the family's 1533-position model. The record is from RNAcentral.